GUACCGUAUGAAUAAGGAUCGGCUAACUCCGUGCCAGCAGCCGCGGUAAUACGGAGGAUCCGAGCGUUAUCCGGAUUUAUUGGGUUUAAAGGGAGCGUAGGCGGGUUGUUAAGUCAGUUGUGAAAGUUUGCGGCUCAACCGUAAAAUUGCAGUUGAUACUGGCGACCUUGAGUGCAACAGAGGUAGGCGGAAUUCGUGGUGUAGCGGUGAAAUGCUUAGAUAUCACGAAGAACUCCGAUUGCGAAGGCAGCUUACUGGAUUGUAACUGACGCUGAUGCUCGAAAGUGUGGGUAUCAAACAGGAUUAGAUACCCUGGUAGUCCACACAGUAAACGAUGAAUACUCGCUGUUGGCGAUAUACAGUCAGCGGCCAAGCGAAAGCAUUAAGUAUUCCACCUGGGGAGUACGCCGGCAACGGUGAAACUCAAAGGAAUUGACGGGGGCCCGCACAAGCGGAGGAACAUGUGGUUUAAUUCGAAGCAACGCGAAGAACCUUACCAAGUCUUGACAUCCUUCUGACCGGUACUUAACCGUACCUUCUCUUCGGAGCAGGAGUGACAGGUGGUGCAUGGUUGUCGUCAGCUCGUGUCGUGAGAUGUUGGGUUAAGUCCCGCAACGAGCGCAACCCUUAUCUUUAGUAGCCAGCGGUUCGGCCGGGCACUCUAGAGAGACUGCCAGGGAUAACCUGGAGGAAGGCGGGGAUGACGUCAAAUCAUCAUGCCCCUUAUGACUUGGGCUACACACGUGCUACAAUGGCGUAAACAAAGGGAAGCAAAGCUGUGAAGCCGAGCAAAUCUCAAAAAUAACGUCCCAGUUCGGACUGUAGUCUGCAACCCGACUACACGAAGCUGGAAUCGCUAGUAAUCGCGGAUCAGAAUGCCGCGGUGAAUACGUUCCCGGGUCUUGCACACACCGCCCGUCA
This 921-nucleotide ribosomal RNA is filed under the name uncultured bacterium. Its description in RNAcentral is "bacterial SSU rRNA". It matches the Rfam family "Bacterial small subunit ribosomal RNA", at positions 475 to 1399 of the family's 1533-position model. The record is from RNAcentral.